CAGCAGCCGCGGUAAUACGUAGGGUGCAAGCGUUAAUCGGAAUUACUGGGCGUAAAGCGUGCGCAGGCGGUUAUGCAAGACAGAGGUGAAAUCCCCGGGCUCAACCUGGGAACUGCCUUUGUGACUGCAUGGCUAGAGUACGGUAGAGGGGGAUGGAAUUCCGCGUGUAGCAGUGAAAUGCGUAGAUAUGCGGAGGAACACCGAUGGCGAAGGCAAUCCCCUGGACCUGUACUGACGCUCAUGCACGAAAGCGUGGGGAGCAAACAGGAUUAGAUACCCUGGUAGUCCACGCCCUAAACGAUGUCAACUGGUUGUUGGGAGGGUUUCUUCUCAGUAACGUAGCUAACGCGUGAAGUUGACCGCCUGGGGAGUACGGCCGCAAGGUUGAAACUCAAAUAAAUUGACGG
RNAcentral lists this ribosomal RNA (407 nucleotides) under uncultured rumen bacterium. Its description in RNAcentral is "bacterial SSU rRNA". It matches the Rfam family "Bacterial small subunit ribosomal RNA", at positions 509 to 916 of the family's 1533-position model. The record is from RNAcentral.